AAGUCCACGCAUAUAUACGGGAUUGUCAUAACAGAGCUAAGAACUAUUCAUUUUAUGACCCGAAGUUUUUCGAUUUAGACCCUGCACGUAACCACUCAUCAUGUAUCUACGACGCCUUUUCCAAGAGAGUAGCUUGUGUUACUGUUUGUGAUACUGACUUUUGUAAUGGACCUCAGAUAGCUGGUGGAAAUAGUAGCCGCG
This 201-nucleotide long non-coding RNA is filed under the name Mytilus galloprovincialis (Mediterranean mussel). Lineage: Eukaryota; Metazoa; Mollusca; Bivalvia; Mytilida; Mytilidae. The record is from RNAcentral.